Molecule: long non-coding RNA, 333 nt
Filed under: Homo sapiens (human)
Lineage: Eukaryota; Metazoa; Chordata; Mammalia; Primates; Hominidae
Description: HSALNT0074974
Source: RNAcentral
CACACUUCUCAUUGGCCAGGAAAAUUAAAUGCAUGUCAACACUGAAGAAAACAGAUCUUGGUUAAAAGCAAUGAUGUAGCUAAUAUCCCGUUCAGGUGUGGGUGUCAUUGUGACUGGCUGCUACCUCCCCAUGAGUCUUCUAAAAUAAAACCUGCAAAUUCACAUCUUCCCCAUGCUUCCAGAGAAUGCAUAUUCUUCCUUUGAAAAAAGAAAACCAGGUAGUCGUACAGUGUCCAGAAGGCAAAAGGACAAGUAUGCACUGCCCUACUUACCUACUUUCCACACUGCUGCACAGGAAAAUCUGACAGAGGACAAUAACAAACAUCUCACCAG